Molecule: ribosomal RNA, 928 nt
Filed under: uncultured Bacillus sp.
Lineage: Bacteria; Bacillati; Bacillota; Bacilli; Caryophanales; Bacillaceae
Description: bacterial SSU rRNA
Rfam family: Bacterial small subunit ribosomal RNA
Source: RNAcentral
ACGACGCUGGCGGCGUGCCUAAUACAUGCAAGUCGAGCGAACAGAAGGGAGCUUGCUCCCGGAUGUUAGCGGCGGACGGGUGAGUAACACGUGGGUAACCUGCCUGUAAGACUGGGAUAACUCCGGGAAACCGGAGCUAAUACCGGAUAGUUCCUUGAACCGCAUGGUUCAAGGAUGAAAGACGGUUUCGGCUGUCACUUACAGAUGGACCCGCGGCGCAUUAGCUAGUUGGUGGGGUAAUGGCUCACCAAGGCGACGAUGCGUAGCCGACCUGAGAGGGUGAUCGGCCACACUGGGACUGAGACACGGCCCAGACUCCUACGGGAGGCAGCAGUAGGGAAUCUUCCGCAAUGGACGAAAGUCUGACGGAGCAACGCCGCGUGAGUGAUGAAGGUUUUCGGAUCGUAAAGCUCUGUUGUUAGGGAAGAACAAGUGCGAGAGUAACUGCUCGCACCUUGACGGUACCUAACCAGAAAGCCACGGCUAACUACGUGCCAGCAGCCGCGGUAAUACGUAGGUGGCAAGCGUUGUCCGGAAUUAUUGGGCGUACCGGGCUCGCAGGCGGUUUCUUAAGUCUGAUGUGAAAGCCCCCGGCUCAACCGGGGAGGGUCAUUGGAAACUGGGAAACUUGAGUGCAGAAGAGGAGAGUGGAAUUCCACGUGUAGCGGUGAAAUGCGUAGAGAUGUGGAGGAACACCAGUGGCGAAGGCGACUCUCUGGUCUGUAACUGACGCUGAGGAGCGAAAGCGUGGGGAGCGAACAGGAUUAGAUACCCUGGUAGUCCACGCCGUAAACGAUGAGUGCUAAGUGUUAGGGGGUUUCCGCCCCUUAGUGCUGCAGCUAACGCAUUAAGCACUCCGCCUGGGGAGUACGGUCGCAAGACUGAAACUCAAAGGAAUUGACGGGGGCCCGCACAAGCGGUGGAGCAU